CGGGGUAUGGCUCAGCUUGGUAGAGCGCUUGGUUUGGGACCAAGAGGCCGGGGGUUCGAAUCCCUCUGCCCCGACCA
This 77-nucleotide transfer RNA is filed under the name Desulfuribacillus alkaliarsenatis. RNAcentral describes it as "tRNA-Pro". It matches the Rfam family "tRNA". Rfam says of the family: Transfer RNA (tRNA) molecules are approximately 80 nucleotides in length. Their secondary structure includes four short double-helical elements and three loops (D, anti-codon, and T loops). The record is from RNAcentral. Lineage: Bacteria; Bacillati; Bacillota; Desulfuribacillia; Desulfuribacillales; Desulfuribacillaceae.